UAUAAGCUUUUUAACUUUAAAAAACAAAACCUAUCUCUAGACAGAAGAAUCACAAUGUCAUUUUCCAAACUCACUAUCUUUUGUGUCAUCCUUAUUUCCUUGGCUAGCCUUCAUGAAUGUAAGUUAUAUAUAUAAGUUUGGUUUUAUUGUUCAUUGUUUAUCAUAACCACCUUUAUAAUCACAAUUAAAUGCUCCAAAAUCGUUUCUAAUGAUAUUUUUUUAUAAUAUAUAUAGGUAAUUUCUUUAAAGACCUUACCAAACCACCUAUAAAAGAUCCAUGCUAUAGAUCAAAUAAUAACAAAUAUUGCUGUAAGGAUUUGCGUCUGCAUCAUUCGUACGCAUGCUCUCCCACCUUAGCAGAAUGUAGGAAAAAUAUUAACAUAAAUUUUUGUAAUCCUUAUGCAAAGAAGAACUAAGAACUUUGACGAAUUAAUUUCAUACAUUUACUCAUAACUCAAGUUGUAAAAUUUAAUCUGAAUUUACCAUAUACGAUUAUGUAAUGCAAA
RNAcentral lists this long non-coding RNA (506 nucleotides) under Capsella rubella. RNAcentral describes it as "long non-coding RNA (CRUB_LNC003881)". Lineage: Eukaryota; Viridiplantae; Streptophyta; Magnoliopsida; Brassicales; Brassicaceae. The record is from RNAcentral.